This 568-nucleotide ribosomal RNA is filed under the name uncultured bacterium. Its description in RNAcentral is "bacterial SSU rRNA". It matches the Rfam family "Bacterial small subunit ribosomal RNA", at positions 8 to 586 of the family's 1533-position model. The record is from RNAcentral.
AGAGUUUGAUCAUGGCUCAGGAUGAACGCUGGCGGCGUGCCUAAUACAUGCAAGUCGAACGAGGUGCCCUUGUAGCAAUACGAGGGUAUCCUAGUGGCGAACGGGUGAGUAACGCGUUGGUGACCUGCCCCGAAGUGUGGGAUAACAGUUCGAAAGGACUGCUAAUACCGCAUGCGGUCAUCGGGUUCAGAAGCCGAUGACCAAAGCAGCAAUGCGCUUUGGGAGGGACCUGCGUCCCAUCAGCUAGUUGGUAGGGUAACGGCCUACCAAGGCGACGACGGGUAGGGGACCUGAGAGGGUGACCCCCCACAAUGGAACUGAAACACGGUCCAUACACCUACGGGUGGCAGCAGUAGGGAAUAUUGCACAAUGGGCGAAAGCCUGAUGCAGCAACGCCGCGUGCACGAUGAAGGUCUUCGGAUCGUAAAGUGCUUUUCUGGGAGAUGAGAAAGGACAGUAUCCCAGGAAUAAGUCUCGGCUAACUACGUGCCAGCAGCCGCGGUAAAACGUAGGAGGCAAGCGUUAUCCGGAUUCACUGGGCGUAAAGCGCGUGCAGGCGGUUCGGUAA